This 342-nucleotide long non-coding RNA is filed under the name Nicotiana benthamiana. RNAcentral describes it as "long non-coding RNA (NBEN_LNC028681)". The record is from RNAcentral. Lineage: Eukaryota; Viridiplantae; Streptophyta; Magnoliopsida; Solanales; Solanaceae.
GUUCCUCAACCUAUGUGACUGCACUCCAGACCCCGCGACCGCAUUGAACAAAUCACCAUCAGGGAUCCAAGGUCCAUUUAACACUAUGCGAUGGCAACACCACGAAUGCGAUCACAGAGAGUAACUUCCCCAACCUAUGUGAUCGCAUGCCCGACUCCGCGAUCGUAUAGCACAAUCAAACAACGCCAAUAAUUCCUUCUAUGCGAUCGCAAAGCCUUUCCUGCGAUCACAUAGAGCAAAACUCUGCAACACUGAACCUGCAAUUUCUGUUACAUUCCAAGUCCAAAAAUCUUCUGUUAGCCAUCCGAAAUCACCCCGAGGCCCCCGGGACGUCAACCAAAA